Molecule: ribosomal RNA, 465 nt
Filed under: Vreelandella stevensii
Lineage: Bacteria; Pseudomonadati; Pseudomonadota; Gammaproteobacteria; Oceanospirillales; Halomonadaceae
Description: partial 16S ribosomal RNA
Rfam family: Bacterial small subunit ribosomal RNA
Source: RNAcentral
CCUACGGGUGGCAGCAGUGGGGAAUAUUGGACAAUGGGGGCAACCCUGAUCCAGCCAUGCCGCGUGUGUGAAGAAGGCCCUCGGGUUGUAAAGCACUUUCAGUGAGGAAGAACGCCUGGUGGUUAAUACCCAUCAGGAAAGACAUCACUCACAGAAGAAGCACCGGCUAACUCCGUGCCAGCAGCCGCGGUAAUACGGAGGGUGCGAGCGUUAAUCGGAAUUACUGGGCGUAAAGCGCGCGUAGGUGGCUUGAUAAGCCGGUUGUGAAAGCCCCGGGCUCAACCUGGGAACGGCAUCCGGAACUGUCAAGCUAGAGUGCAGGAGAGGAAGGUAGAAUUCCCGGUGUAGCGGUGAAAUGCGUAGAGAUCGGGAGGAAUACCAGUGGCGAAGGCGGCCUUCUGGACUGACACUGCCACUGAGGUGCGAAAGCGUGGGUAGCAAACAGGAUUAGAUACCCCGGUAGUC